RNAcentral lists this ribosomal RNA (169 nucleotides) under Ammodytes dubius (northern sand lance). RNAcentral describes it as "partial 12S rRNA". The record is from RNAcentral. Lineage: Eukaryota; Metazoa; Chordata; Actinopteri; Uranoscopiformes; Ammodytidae.
CACCGCGGUUAUACGAGAGGCCCAAGCUGAUAGACCCCGGCGUAAAGAGUGGUUAAGAUAAACUUGAAACUAAAGCCGAACACCCUCACAGCUGUUAUACGCACCCGAGGGCAAGAAGCCCAACUACGAAAGUGGCUUUACAACCCCUGAACCCACGAAAGCUAUGACA